Molecule: long non-coding RNA, 770 nt
Organism: Anopheles coluzzii
Lineage: Eukaryota; Metazoa; Arthropoda; Insecta; Diptera; Culicidae
Exons: 3
Source: RefSeq, a predicted model, not a curated record
UGCAGUGGUUGGAAUCAGAAUGUUAGGUUACGGUGUAAAAUCUGCUGAAAAAGAAUGUAUUAAAAUCACCAAUUGGGUUUAGUAGGAAAUAAUUGGUGAAUAAUAAACUAAUUAUUUUACUCCUCAGACAUCAGUGUAGAUGAUCUUCAUUACUUCGAUCUCGAAAGAGCGAAAGACAGGUUUAAAAGGAACCAGCACACCAAGCAGCAACACUUCGUCUUAAGCUAAUUAGUACGACAAAUGAUUUAUUUUCCCCACUGUUUUCGCUUCGGAUGUAAUCCAGUAGUACCGGCUUGUUGGCUGACAGUGGCAAGAUGUUUUCAAUUUUCCACUCCACUCCGUAGUGGCACCAUAGUUCCCUGUAGCCGUAGCCAAGCACAACCAGUCAGAGUGGCGGCGUUCAAUCAAACCUGAAGCUAUUCUCUACCAGAAGCGCCCGGCUGGACGGAAGCCCCUCAGGAUCGAAAGCCACAAUACCACCGGGGUAAAACACGCAGAAAAACGAACUUGCUGUUACGACGUCUGCCCUUCAAACGGGGGAAGGAGUGCAUUAAGAACGGCAGCAGUAGCAGCAGCAGCAGCAGCAAAAAACACCCUGCCUGAGUUCAUCGUCUCGGCAGAUCGAUCAGAAGAUAGCGAACAAAAGGGAAUGGAGCGUUUAAGGCAAAAGGAGUGAGUGAACGAAGAACAAAAAAAAAUCACAAACUAUCAGAAUUCCCAGUAGCAAAUUAUCGUAUAAUUGAGCGUGGUAAAGAGUUAUGAAAAAAAGG